This 74-nucleotide transfer RNA is filed under the name Solirubrobacteraceae bacterium. Its description in RNAcentral is "tRNA-Arg". It matches the Rfam family "tRNA". From Rfam's summary of the family: Transfer RNA (tRNA) molecules are approximately 80 nucleotides in length. Their secondary structure includes four short double-helical elements and three loops (D, anti-codon, and T loops). Further hydrogen bonds mediate the characteristic L-shaped molecular structure. tRNAs have two regions of fundamental functional importance: the anti-codon, which is responsible for specific mRNA codon recognition, and the 3' end, to which the tRNAs corresponding amino acid is attached (by aminoacyl-tRNA synthetases). tRNAs cope with the degeneracy of the genetic code in two manners: having more than one tRNA (with a specific anti-codon) for a particular amino acid; and 'wobble' base-pairing, i.e. permitting non-standard base-pairing at the 3rd anti-codon position. The record is from RNAcentral. Lineage: Bacteria; Bacillati; Actinomycetota; Thermoleophilia; Solirubrobacterales; Solirubrobacteraceae. RNAcentral also lists the same sequence under 2 other names.
GCCCCGAUAGCUCAGCUGGACAGAGCGACUCCCUCCUAAGGAGUAGGCCGCAGGUUCGAAUCCUGCUCGGGGCA